RNAcentral lists this ribosomal RNA (486 nucleotides) under uncultured bacterium. Its description in RNAcentral is "bacterial SSU rRNA". It matches the Rfam family "Bacterial small subunit ribosomal RNA", at positions 355 to 842 of the family's 1533-position model. The record is from RNAcentral.
UAGGGAAUAUUGGGCAAUGGAGGAGACUCUGACCCAGCCAUGCCGCGUGCAGGAAGAAGGCCUUCUGGGUUGUAAACUGCUUUUGAUCGGGAACAAAAAGAUCUUGCGAGAUAAAUUGAGUGUACCGAUAGAAUAAGCACCGGCUAACUCCGUGCCAGCAGCCGCGGUAAUACGGAGGGUGCAAGCGUUGUCCGGAUUUAUUGGGUUUAAAGGGUGCGUAGGCGGCCAAUUAAGUCAGUGGUGAAAUACUAUAGCUCAACUAUAGGACUGCCAAUGAUACUGUUUGGCUUGAGUACAGACGAGGUAGGCGGAAUUGAUGGUGUAGCGGUGAAAUGCAUAGAUACCAUCAAGAACACCGAUUGCGAAGGCAGCUUACUAGGCUGUAACUGACGCUGAGGCACGAAAGCGUGGGGAUCGAACAGGAUUAGAUACCCUGGUAGUCCACGCUGUAAACGAUGAUUACUCGAUGUGUGCGAUAGACAGUAC